Non-coding RNA from Acanthosepion pharaonis, 110 nucleotides. The record is from the annotation of a GenBank genome assembly. NCBI's taxonomy places the organism in Eukaryota, Metazoa, Mollusca, Cephalopoda, Sepiida, Sepiidae.
UGGCCUCAUCACCUUGAAACACCAGUUCCUGUAUGAUCACUGAAGUUAAGUAACAUUGAGCCUGGUCAGUAACUAGAUGGGUGAUUACUUGGGUAUACCAGGUGCUGUAA